Molecule: ribosomal RNA, 465 nt
Filed under: uncultured ciliate
Lineage: Eukaryota; Ciliophora
Description: SSU rRNA
Rfam family: Eukaryotic small subunit ribosomal RNA
Source: RNAcentral
AUUUGUCUGGUUAAUUCCGAUAACGAACGAGACCUUAACCUGCUAACUAGAUUCGAUUAUACUAUAUUCGAUAUCUUCUUAGAGGGACUAUGUAAUACAAAUACAUGGAAGUUUGAGGCAAUAACAGGUCAGUGAUGCCCUUAUAUGUCCUGGGCUGCACGCGUGCUACACUGAUGCAUACAACAAGUGCCUAACCAGACAUGGUACGGCAAUCUCGAAUAUGCAUCGUGAUGGGGAUAGAUCUUUGCAAUUAUAGAUCUUGAACGAGGAAUUCCUAGUAAGUGCAAGUCAUCAUCUUGCAUUGAUUAUGUCCCUGCCCUUUGUACACACCGCCCGUCGCUCCUACCGAUACCGGGUGAUCCGGUGAACCUUUUGGACCUGUAUGGGGAAGAUAAGUAAACCAUAUCACCUAGAGGAAGGAGAAGUCGUAACAAGGUUUCCGUAGGUGAACCUGCRGAAGGAUCA